GAUGAACGCUGGCGGCGUGCCUAAUACAUGCAAGUCGAGCGAACGGACGAGAAGCUUGCUUCUCUGAUGUUAGCGGCGGACGGGUGAGUAACACGUGGAUAACCUACCUAUAAGACUGGGAUAACUUCGGCAAACCGUAGCUAAUACCGGAUAAUAUUUUGAACCGCAUGGUUCAAAAGUGAAAGACGGUCUUGCUGUCACUUAUAGAUGGAUCCGCGCUGCAUUAGCUAGUUGGUAAGGUAACGGCUUACCAAGGCAACGUUGCAUAGCCGACCUGAGAGGGUGAUCGGCCACACUGGAACUGAGACACGGUCCAGACUCCUACGGGAGGCAGCAGUAGGGAAUCUUCCGCAAUGGGCGAAAGCCUGACGGAGCAACGCCGCGUGAGUGAUGAAGGUCUUCGGAUCGUAAAACUCUGUUAUUAGGGAAGAACAUAUGUGUAAGUAACUGUGCACAUCUUGACGGUACCUAAUCAGAAAGCCACGGCUAACUACGUG
RNAcentral lists this ribosomal RNA (497 nucleotides) under uncultured bacterium. RNAcentral's name for it is "partial 16S ribosomal RNA". It matches the Rfam family "Bacterial small subunit ribosomal RNA", at positions 28 to 507 of the family's 1533-position model. The record is from RNAcentral.